CCAUGCAACCGGGGAGGUAGCGGCGCCCUGUACCUGCAAUCCGCUAUAGCGGGGGUGAUGGUCUUUUUGAGGGAUGUCUAUUGUAGAGCUGCCCUAAGUAAGUGAUGUUGAUGUCUGGGUCUUGCGCAACAGGACUCUUCGAACCGUGUCAGGACGGAGACGUAGCAGCACUAAGAGGAAUCUCCUGUGUGCCGUGAGGGUGCCUGGGCUGAGUUAACUGCUGAGGUAACGUUUAUGAUAGCUUUUCGAGAUAAGACCGCAUGG
This is a non-coding RNA of Coprococcus sp. CAG:782, 264 nucleotides long. It matches the Rfam family "Bacterial large signal recognition particle RNA". From Rfam's summary of the family: The signal recognition particle (SRP) is a universally conserved ribonucleoprotein involved in the co-translational targeting of proteins to membranes. Archaeal SRP consists of a 7S RNA and homologues of the eukaryotic SRP19 and SRP54 proteins. In most bacteria, the SRP consists of a 4.5S RNA and the Ffh protein (a homologue of the eukaryotic SRP54 protein). NCBI's taxonomy places the organism in Bacteria, Bacillati, Bacillota, Clostridia, Lachnospirales, Lachnospiraceae. The record is from Rfam.